AAAACAAUUGUUUUCAGGGUGAAUCAAAAAACCUUUACAUUUUAAAUUGACUAGUUGGGUAGUUACUGUAUUACAACUGUUUUCUGGAUUUCUAUGCCCGAUAAACAAAUUUGACAAUUUGUUUUUUUUACUAAUUUUCCUUGCUAGGGUUUUAUUAAAUUAAAAUAGUGAUAUCAUUUAGUUAACUUAAAAUAAAUCUACAUUAUUUAUCAGUAUAAAAUAUUUUAAUACAAUACAAAUUAUACCACACACUCAAAAGUAGCAUUGUCAUUAAAAUUGCAUUCCUGAAAGAUGUCAUGACAUAAGAAAACUUUUUACCGAUCAAUUUGCUAAGUCAUACAAUUGGACUGAAGCAAAAGGAAAAAACCUUUAUCAUGUUUAUACCUGUCUAAGAUAAUCAUUGGUAAGAUAAUUUUAUUGAUGCUUAAUUGUUUUAACAGCUUUUCUAUUUUUUUUUUUUAUUAUUAAGAUAUCAAAAACAAAACAUUUAAUGUACAUCAAAAUUAAAUUUGUUAUAGAAUUGAUUAAUUUACCUAUAUAAUUUAUUAUAAUCUUUCAUAUUUUUAUAUAACAUUUGCUGUUUCUCAAAAUUCAAGAGUUUGUUAUAGAAUUGAUUAAUUUACCUAUAUAAUUUAUUAUAAUCUUUCAUAUUUUUAUAUAGAUGCUGUUUCCAAAAAUUCAAGAGUUUGACAUUAUUACUUGUAUCAAAACCGGAUAAGACAUGCAG
Molecule: non-coding RNA, 727 nt
Organism: Cinara cedri
Lineage: Eukaryota; Metazoa; Arthropoda; Insecta; Hemiptera; Aphididae
Source: the annotation of a GenBank genome assembly